GGAAUAUUGCACAAUGGGCGCAAGCCUGAUGCAGCCAUGCCGCGUGUGUGAAGAAGGCCUUAGGGUUGUAAAGCACUUUCAGCGAGGAGGAAGGGUUCAGUGUUAAUAGCACUGUUCAUUGACGUUACUCGCAGAAGAAGCACCGGCUAACUCCGUGCCAGCAGCCGCGGUAAUACGGAGGGUGCAAGCGUUAAUCGGAAUUACUGGGCGUAAAGCGCACGCAGGCGGUUUGUUAAGUCAGAUGUGAAAUCCCCGAGCUUAACUUGGGAACUGCAUUUGAAACUGGCAAGCUAGAGUCUUGUAGAGGGGGGUAGAAUUCCAGGUGUAGCGGUGAAAUGCGUAGAGAUCUGGAGGAAUACCGGUGGCGAAGGCGGCCCCCUGGACAAAGACUGACGCUCAGGUGCGAAAGCGUGGGGAGCAAACAGGAUUAGAUACCCGAG
Molecule: ribosomal RNA, 440 nt
Filed under: uncultured Serratia sp.
Lineage: Bacteria; Pseudomonadati; Pseudomonadota; Gammaproteobacteria; Enterobacterales; Yersiniaceae
Description: bacterial SSU rRNA
Rfam family: Bacterial small subunit ribosomal RNA
Source: RNAcentral